GAGGGGGUGCAAACGUUAUUCGGAUUUACUGGGUGUAAAGGGUGUGUAGACGGGUUGUUAAGUUCGUUGUUAAAUCGUCCGGGCCUAACCGGGAAGCUCGCGAUGGAAACUGGCAAUCUUGAGGAUGGAAGAGAGAAGUGGAAUUCUCGGAGUAGCGGUAAAAUGCGUAGAUCUCGAGAGGAACACCGAUGGCGAAGGCAGCUUCUUGGUCCAUUCCUGACGUUGAGACACGAAAGCGUGGGGAGCAAACAGGAUUAGAUACCCUGGUAGUCCACGCUGUAAACGAUGAUCACUAGAUGUUGGCCCUGUUUUGCAGGGUUAGUAUCGAAGCUAACGCGUUAAGUGAUCCACCUGGGAACUACGAUCGCAAGAUUA
Molecule: ribosomal RNA, 375 nt
Filed under: uncultured organism
Description: partial 16S ribosomal RNA
Rfam family: Bacterial small subunit ribosomal RNA
Source: RNAcentral